RNAcentral lists this transfer RNA (76 nucleotides) under Streptomyces sp. ISL-87. RNAcentral's name for it is "tRNA-Pro". It matches the Rfam family "tRNA". From Rfam's summary of the family: Transfer RNA (tRNA) molecules are approximately 80 nucleotides in length. The record is from RNAcentral. Lineage: Bacteria; Bacillati; Actinomycetota; Actinomycetes; Kitasatosporales; Streptomycetaceae. RNAcentral also lists the same sequence under 1 other name.
CUGGUCGUAGUUCAGUUGGUAGAGCGCCUGGUUUGGGACCAGGAGGCCGCCGGUUCGAGUCCGGCCGACCAGACCA